UACGGAGGGUGCGAGCGUUGUCCGGAAUCACUGGGCGUAAAGGGCGCGUAGGCGGCCUGAUAAGUAGGGGGUGAAAUCCUGCGGCUUAACCGCAGGGCUGCCUUCUAAACUGUCGGGCUAGAGCACGGUAGAGGCAGAUGGAAUUCCCGGUGUAGCGGUGGAAUGCGUAGAGAUCGGGAAGAACAUCAGUGGCGAAGGCGGUUAGCUGGGCAGUUGCUGACACUGGGGCGCGACAGCGUGGGGAGCAAACAGG
Molecule: ribosomal RNA, 253 nt
Filed under: uncultured bacterium
Lineage: Bacteria
Description: partial 16S ribosomal RNA
Rfam family: Bacterial small subunit ribosomal RNA
Source: RNAcentral